GACAUAGGUGGCGAACGUUAUCCGGAAUUAUUGGGCGUAAAGGAUGCGUAGAUGGUAGAAUAAGUUACUGGUCGAUGCCAAACUCAAUUUGACGGAAGCUGGUAAUACUGUUCUGCUUGAGGGCAGGAGAGGUUGAUGGAAUUCCUGGUGUAGCGGUGAAAUGCGUAGAUAUCAGGAGGAACACCGGUGGUGUAGACGGCUAUCUGGACCGUAACUGACGCUGAGGCACGAAAGCGUGGGUAGCAAACAGG
RNAcentral lists this ribosomal RNA (251 nucleotides) under uncultured bacterium. RNAcentral describes it as "partial 16S ribosomal RNA". It matches the Rfam family "Bacterial small subunit ribosomal RNA", at positions 524 to 776 of the family's 1533-position model. The record is from RNAcentral.